ACCCCUUUGUAAACCAUACCAAAUCCACCAACACCAAUGAUCAGUUUUUCGUCGAAAUUGUUAGUGGCUGAUUUAAUGUCAGCAAAAGGGAUCCUCAAGCUGUGAUAACCAUUUGGGCCAGGAGAUGCAUUGACAGUCACUUCAGACAUUCUACUGCGAGAACUACCUCCAUAUACACGUAAAUGUGUCCAACCUGCACUUUCUGC
Molecule: unclassified non-coding RNA, 206 nt
Filed under: Hevea brasiliensis (rubber tree)
Lineage: Eukaryota; Viridiplantae; Streptophyta; Magnoliopsida; Malpighiales; Euphorbiaceae
Source: RNAcentral